GGAAGGCCAGGCAGGGGCCUGCUCAGGGUGACCUGUGACCACUUCACUCUCCCCCAGGAAGAACACUCACUCCCGGCCAUACUUGCGUGUGAGUUCUGACCCCUGGAGGAGCCACUGUGGAAUCAGAGCAAUCGCCAUGGAGUUUGUGAUGAAGCAGGCCCUAGGAGCCACGUGUGUCUUUUCGUGCAGUCAUGCAUCAUGUAACGAAAGGGACAAGUUCUGAGGACUGUGUCAUUAGGUGACUUUGUCGCUGUGCGAACAUCAAAGAGUGCACUGUUGCACACCCAGAUGGAGCAACCCUGCACGCCCAGGCUGUUGGGGGUAGCCUGGUGCUCCCGGGCACAACCCUGCACAGCACGUGACUGCCUGAAUGGCACGGAAGUUGUAACACAGUGGUGAGUAUUUGCGUACCUAAGCA
Molecule: long non-coding RNA, 418 nt
Filed under: Pan troglodytes (chimpanzee)
Lineage: Eukaryota; Metazoa; Chordata; Mammalia; Primates; Hominidae
Description: long non-coding RNA NONPTRT012867
Source: RNAcentral